Molecule: long non-coding RNA, 552 nt
Filed under: Homo sapiens (human)
Lineage: Eukaryota; Metazoa; Chordata; Mammalia; Primates; Hominidae
Description: non-protein coding ADORA2A-AS1:6
Source: RNAcentral
GGUUCCAGCAGCAACCGCCGGGCAGGGCCCCUCCCGACCGCGACCUCCUGUCCGCACCGUAGGGCAGCCGGCCGGGCCAGCCUCCCUCACAGGACUACCGAGGAAGAGGUAGGAUUUCACUCUGUCACCCAGGCGGGAGUGCAGUGGUGCGAUCAUAGCGGGGACUACAAGUGUGCACCACAUGCUUGUCUACGAACCUGAAGUAUUCUGAUGCAGUGGAGAGAGUGUAGAACUCUGGAGUGAAGAGAUCUGCCUGGAACCCUGACUCUAUCACUAGAUCAGGACCUGAAGUAGGUGGCUGCCCAUCCAGGUAUUCUACAGGCACUUGCCCGUGAAACCUUCACCACUCCUUGAAUCUGGUUCUGCAAAGUGGGACAGCUGAGACUUAGGCUAAGUGACUUACUGAGGCAGCAGUCAGCACCGUGUGGGACCAGCCCCCAUGCUGUUUCCCAAAUGGAGGCACCUUCCUGCAUACCUUGGGCGUGAUCUGUAACAGCUCAGAAAGCUUGGACACCAGCAGGGUGGCACCUAUAUGGGGAGCACCUGUCCGCA